Molecule: long non-coding RNA, 1190 nt
Filed under: Nicotiana tabacum (common tobacco)
Lineage: Eukaryota; Viridiplantae; Streptophyta; Magnoliopsida; Solanales; Solanaceae
Description: long non-coding RNA (NTAB_LNC019532)
Source: RNAcentral
UUCUUGAGGUUUGCAAGAUUAUAUAACAUAUCAAGUGAGCAGAUGUGACAACUAAGCUAGUGAAUCCACCACAGAAGUUCAAGUCACAAAAUCAUGUGAGUUUUACAUGUUAAGGUAGGCAUGGUUUCAAUAACAGAUUAAUCAUUCUAAGAAAACAACUUAAGUGGGUAUAACAUAGAUUUAUGAGGAAAAUACAUGCUAACAAAUGAUAUAGAAUUGCUUAGCUUCAAUAGACAAUAUAGCACAAAUGUAGAAGACAUCAACCCUCGACAGGAUAUCAAGAGAUGUUUAAAGAAUACUGCUUGAUCAAGCUAACUAAAUAUGGUAUUACAGUUAACAAACACAUUCAGAAACAUCAGAAGAUUCCUAAACAAUGAACAAAGCUCAGAAAAGUAUAUAUCAUUCUCUAAUAACAACUAUUUAUCCAGUUAAGUCAUGAAGUUCAUUAACAUAGAUUAACCAGCCUUACUAACACAAAUUAUAAGGAGAUGAUUAACUCAAUCAAUAAUGAUAAAAAGUAAGAACGGAACCUAAUAAUCAAUGACAAACUACUAACAUGCAUCAUGGAUGAAAAUAACCAACAAAAGAAAAUAUGAUAUAGCACAAAACAAUAUGAAUGAUCAAAAGAAAGGGAAGGCCGGUGUACACUGACCUUCUACGGAGUAGCAAACCAAACAAAAACUUCUUGUUUAACCGUUAAGAAUUCUAACUCAAGCUCGAACAAUGGACUAACUCGGUGCCAGAGAAGGAAAAGAAAAUCAGUGAGAAGUUUAGGGAUUUUAUUCUCUUAAGCUUUCUAUUUUUUUUCUAUUCUGUUUUAGGUGUUAGGUAGUGUUAGGUGUAAGCAUUGAAGUCUCCUAUUUAUAAUGGCCAUUGAAGACUUAGGGUUUAACAAAAAUUCAAAAAUCGAUAGUGGAGAGUGAAGGAGAGAUUGAUGAUGCUAGCAAAAUGAGUGAAAAUCAAAAGAUCAUAACAGAAAAUCAUAGGAGUUUUACCUGAGUGGAAGACAGUCAUUGCAGGUGAGAAAACCAUCGGACAAAGACCGAUAAUCCAGAGGUCAGUGUAUUUGACCUCUGAUUUCAAAUAAACAUAAUGAGAUGCUCAUGCAUGCUCUGAUUUUGUUGCAGCACAAGAGGAUCUUGAAGACUUGAAGUUUCAUCUUUAAGUCUAAGUCAGAAAAUGUGAGAUUU